GAGUUUGGAGGGUGCCGGUCAGCGGAGCCGUGCGAUGUAUUUGAAAAGCAAUCAGUCCGACCUUCCCCCAUAGAUUCAUCACUAGUGGAGAGCUGGGCUUCGAGGCGUCAGUGUGAAGGGAAGGCUAAGGACGCAUCGGUGCUGGAGAGUUGAGAAUAUGCCUUCCCCUCCACCCCCAACCCAGUCACCUUAUUUGAAAAAAAAUUAAAAAACACCUUUUAUUUAAAAACCUAACCCUGGAAGUUUGCUCGGGAAGGCAUUCUCUUCCUCUUCCUCCAGCUGCCUGAAAAUCAUAUGCGUGGUUUUUCCUGUUUCCUGCUCUGUAGCUGACAUCAGGGGAGCAACGUGAACACAGGAAAAUGGAAAUCAACAUUUGAAACUUUUAAAUGGAAGCUUUAUUGGGGUUCCACAUAUGGAAAACUGCAAAUAGCAGAAGUAUGUGACUCAAUAAAUUAUUCUGGAGUGACCACAUCCUCUAACUGCCUCCCAGGACAAGACGGAGAAUGUGAACAAUGCUCCUGAAGGCCCCUUUCCCUCAAAGAAUCACUGCAAUUGAAGGAAAAAUGCUCCAUGUCCCCUCUGCCAGUUGGUGUUUAUCAAAGGACAACGGAGGAAGAGAGACAAAGUGCCUGGAUGUGUGUGUUAAUCAAGAGUUGUCAGGACCCUGCCUCUAAAAGAAAGCGCUAAAAUGAUGCUUUUGACAAGACUUUUCUCAAAGUGGAUGCAGUCUAAGGGUUGGAAAACAAGGCCCAAUCAGGCUAGGUCUGACUUGUCGCCUGCUUUUGUAAAUAAAGUUUUAUUGGCUCACAGACACACU
RNAcentral lists this long non-coding RNA (817 nucleotides) under Homo sapiens (human). RNAcentral describes it as "non-protein coding PANTR1:36". Lineage: Eukaryota; Metazoa; Chordata; Mammalia; Primates; Hominidae. The record is from RNAcentral.